Molecule: ribosomal RNA, 485 nt
Filed under: uncultured bacterium
Lineage: Bacteria
Description: bacterial SSU rRNA
Rfam family: Bacterial small subunit ribosomal RNA
Source: RNAcentral
CUACGUGCCAGCAGCCGCGGUAAUACGUAGGGCGCGAGCGUUGUCCGGAAUUAUUGGGCGUAAAGAGCUUGUAGGCGGUUUGUCGCGUCUGCUGUGAAAGGCCGGGGCUUAACUCCGUGUAUUGCAGUGGGUACGGGCAGACUAGAGUGCAGUAGGGGAGACUGGAACUCCUGGUGUAGCGGUGGAAUGCGCAGAUAUCAGGAAGAACACCGAUGGCGAAGGCAGGUCUCUGGGCUGUAACUGACGCUGAGAAGCGAAAGCAUGGGGAGCGAACAGGAUUAGAUACCCUGGUAGUCCAUGCCGUAAACGUUGGGCACUAGGUGUGGGGGACAUUCCACGUUUUCCGCGCCGUAGCUAACGCAUUAAGUGCCCCGCCUGGGGAGUACGGCCGCAAGGCUAAAACUCAAAGAAAUUGACGGGGGCCCGCACAAGCGGCGGAGCAUGCGGAUUAAUUCGAUGCAACGCGAAGAACCUUACCAAGGCUU